Molecule: ribosomal RNA, 251 nt
Filed under: uncultured bacterium
Lineage: Bacteria
Description: partial 16S ribosomal RNA
Rfam family: Bacterial small subunit ribosomal RNA
Source: RNAcentral
ACGGAGGAUGCGAGCGUUAUCCGGAUUUAUUGGGUUUAAAGGGUGCGUAGGUGGUUUUUUAAGUCAGCGGUGAAAGUUUGUGGCUCAACCAUAAAAUUGCCGUUGAAACUGGGGAACUUGAGUAUAUUUGAGGUAGGCGGAAUGCGUGGUGUAGCGGUGAAAUGCAUAGAUAUCACGCAGAACUCCGAUUGCGAAGGCAGCUUACUAAACUAUAACUGACACUGAAGCACGAAAGCGUGGGGAUCAAACAG